This 1052-nucleotide ribosomal RNA is filed under the name Toxoplasma gondii ME49. RNAcentral's name for it is "SSU rRNA". It matches the Rfam family "Eukaryotic small subunit ribosomal RNA", at positions 3 to 1063 of the family's 1831-position model. The record is from RNAcentral. Lineage: Eukaryota; Apicomplexa; Conoidasida; Eucoccidiorida; Sarcocystidae.
CCUGGUUGAUCCUGCCAGUAGUCAUAUGCUUGUCUUAAAGAUUAAGCCAUGCAUGUCUAAGUAUAAGCUUUUAUACGGCUAAACUGCGAAUGGCUCAUUAAAACAGUUAUAGUUUAUUUGAUGGUCUUUACUACAUGGAUAACCGUGGUAAUUCUAUGGCUAAUACAUGCGCACAUGCCUCUUCCCCUGGAAGGGCAGUGUUUAUUAGAUACAGAACCAACCCACCUUCCGGUGGUCCUCAGGUGAUUCAUAGUAACCGAACGGAUCGCGUUGACUUCGGUCUGCGACGGAUCAUUCAAGUUUCUGACCUAUCAGCUUUCGACGGUACUGUAUUGGACUACCGUGGCAGUGACGGGUAACGGGGAAUUAGGGUUCGAUUACGGAGAGGGAGCCUGAGAAACGGCUACCACAUCUAAGGAAGGCAGCAGGCGCGCAAAUUACCCAAUCCUGAUUCAGGGAGGUAGUGACAAGAAAUAACAACACUGGAAAUUUCAUUUCUAGUGAUUGGAAUGAUAGGAAUCCAAACCCCUUUCAGAGUAACAAUUGGAGGGCAAGUCUGGUGCCAGCAGCCGCGGUAAUUCCAGCUCCAAUAGCGUAUAUUAAAGUUGUUGCAGUUAAAAAGCUCGUAGUUGGAUUUCUGCUGGAAGCAGCCAGUCCGCCCUCAGGGGUGUGCACUUGGUGAAUUCUAGCAUCCUUCUGGAUUUCUCCACACUUCAUUGUGUGGAGUUUUUUCCAGGACUUUUACUUUGAGAAAAUUAGAGUGUUUCAAGCAGGCUUGUCGCCUUGAAUACUGCAGCAUGGAAUAAUAAGAUAGGAUUUCGGCCCUAUUUUGUUGGUUUCUAGGACUGAAGUAAUGAUUAAUAGGGACGGUUGGGGGCAUUCGUAUUUAACUGUCAGAGGUGAAAUUCUUAGAUUUGUUAAAGACGAACUACUGCGAAAGCAUUUGCCAAAGAUGUUUUCAUUAAUCAAGAACGAAAGUUAGGGGCUCGAAGACGAUCAGAUACCGUCGUAGUCUUAACCAUAAACUAUGCCGACUAGAGAUAGGAAAACGU